This 468-nucleotide ribosomal RNA is filed under the name uncultured bacterium. Its description in RNAcentral is "partial 16S ribosomal RNA". It matches the Rfam family "Bacterial small subunit ribosomal RNA", at positions 28 to 507 of the family's 1533-position model. The record is from RNAcentral.
GACGAACGCUGGCGGCGUGCUUAACACAUGCAAGUCGAACGGAAAGGCCCUGCUUUUGUGGGGUGCUCGAGUGGCGAACGGGUGAGUAACACGUGAGUAACCUGCCCUUGACUUUGGGAUAACUUCGGGAAACUGGGGCUAAUACCGGAUAGGAGCUCCUGCUGCAUGGUGGGGGUUGGAAAGUUUCGGCGGCUGGGGAUGGACUCGCGGCUUAUCAGCUUGUUGGUGGGGUAGUGGCUUACCAAGGCUUUGACGGGUAGCCGGCCUGAGAGGGUGACCGGACACAUUGGGACUGAGAUACGGCCCAGACUCCUACGGGAGGCAGCAGUGGGGAAUAUUGCACAAUGGGCGGAAGCCUGAUGCAGCAACGCCGCGUGCGGGAUGACGGCCUUCGGGUUGUAAACCGCUUUCGCCUGUGACGAAGCGUGAGUGACGGUAAUGGGUAAAGAAGCACCGGCUAACUACGUG